GUGUUGUUUGGAAGGAGAGCAAGUUAGCACUCCCCUAGACAAGGAUGGAACACACAAAUGAGCGGCUAGGCACAAGACAAUGCCGUUCUCAAGUUUUUUU
This 100-nucleotide non-coding RNA is filed under the name Drosophila busckii. The record is from RNAcentral. Lineage: Eukaryota; Metazoa; Arthropoda; Insecta; Diptera; Drosophilidae.